AUACUUACCUGGCGCAGGCGACACCGUGAUCACGAAGGUGGUUCUCUCGGGGCGAGGACCGCCUUUGCAUUCCGUCGAUGCUGAAUCUUGUGAUUAAUCCAUAUGUGAUUAAUUGGAGUGCCAACUUUUUGUUAGAGGGACUACGUUCUCGCAUCCCCGCC
Scylla paramamosain (green mud crab) is the source of this 161-nucleotide small nuclear RNA. RefSeq annotates it as U1 spliceosomal RNA. The record is from RefSeq and is a predicted model, not a curated record. The transcript has a single exon. NCBI's taxonomy places the organism in Eukaryota, Metazoa, Arthropoda, Malacostraca, Decapoda, Portunidae.